This 682-nucleotide long non-coding RNA is filed under the name Rattus norvegicus (Norway rat). RNAcentral describes it as "long non-coding RNA NONRATT006629". The record is from RNAcentral. Lineage: Eukaryota; Metazoa; Chordata; Mammalia; Rodentia; Muridae.
GGCCCAGCAAUGAAAUAGGCCCUGCCUGUCCUAGUCUAGAGACAUUCAUUUCAGAAGCCUUGGAUGGGAAGGCCUGACAUAACCAAGCCUCACAGAGGUAGUUCUUCAUGGGCGGUGUUCUCCUCACCCAGACACUGAGUCCGCCUUUCCCCCACCCCCACCUCCGCCACCUUUGGUGUCUUGGUCUCAGGGGCGAGGGGCAAAGAGAACAGAUAGAUGCACCCACUAGCUCCUUGGGUUCCUUGCAAGCCACAGUUUCACAAGGGUUGGUGGCACUGGAGGUGGGCCACUCACUCCCCCUUCCCUGGGCCUGCUGUGACCACAGGGAUGCCUACAGUAUAAAUGUCACUGAAACUGUGUCCACAUCAGUCGCUGGGCUUGUGGCCAAGAGAUGGAAGCUCCCCAAACCGUGGUGACGUGUUCUUCUGGGAAGAAGAAUUUGAAAUCGAACCUCUCCUGCCUCUUGAGCAUCUCCGAUCUUCCUCCUGCGCUAUUUUUAACAUUCUCACCAAGCACACUGGGGAGCUCAGAGGGUGACAGUUACCAGGCGUAUGCCCUACGUGUGCACAGAUAAACACACUGUAUCUUCUGCCUUGGUAUUCUUUUCUGCAGGGACCCCCCGACUCAGGAUGUUCCCAGGGGAGCCAGGGACAUGGAUUUGGGAAUAAAAGACAAGAGACAG